This 374-nucleotide ribosomal RNA is filed under the name uncultured eukaryote. RNAcentral describes it as "SSU rRNA". It matches the Rfam family "Eukaryotic small subunit ribosomal RNA", at positions 587 to 972 of the family's 1831-position model. The record is from RNAcentral.
AGCUCCAAUAGUGUAUACUAAAGUUGUUGCAGUUAAAAAGCUCGUAGUUGGAUUUCGGAUAGCAGAUUAAUAGUCUAUAUUCUAUAUAUACGCACUGUUAAUCUGUUUCCUUCUUUUUGGAUAUACUAUUUUAUAGUGUUCCAAAUCAUUUACUUUGAGAAAAUUAGAGUGUUCAAAGCAGGCGUAACAAAGCCUUUGAAUAUAUUAGCAUGGGAUAAUGAAAUAAGACUUUUUGCCUUAUUUUCGUUGGUCAUAGGGCUAAAGUAAUGAUUAAUAGGGAUAGUUGGGGUCAUUAGUAUUUAAUUGUCAGAGGUGAAAUUCUAAGAUUUAUUAAAGACUAACUACUGCGAAAGCAUUUGACAAGGAUGUUUUCA